AUAAAAUAUAAUAAGCAAAAUUAUACUGAUGAUACAUGUUAAGAAUUUGAAUACAUAAAAAAUAGUAAAUACUAAAUAGGUAGACAUAUUAUGUAAAAAUCAUAAGAAAUAAGUGAAUUUAGUGAUAAACAAAUUGCUCUGUGGUAAAGUCUGUAAGAUGUUACCUUAUAUAAAUCUAAUUGUCACGCGAACUAAUUUCCAUAAAACUGCAUUACAAAGUUAUUUUAAAGAUUGAACUGGGUCAUCUAAAGUCUCUCUUAAAAUAAAUUGAUGGAUACACUAGUAGCAGCCUAUCAAGCCAUACAAUGUCAGCUCAGUUACUGUCUUUCAAAUAAAACACAUUUCAUUUGAAUUCAAGAAUAACACAGAGAAAACUAACCCGGACAAGAUGUAGCAGAUCAAUGUCAAUCUCAUAAAUUUAUAAAAAGGAUACAAUGUAGCAUAUUGAAAUACUGUAGCUGUGUUAAGACCUCCAAGCUUGGGCUUUAAGUAUACAAUUUACAAUUAAAAAUCUACGGGGGAUACCAAUGUCCAGCAGUUGAGAACCAGCAAAAUACGAGUAAAAAAGUAUUACUAUACUUACGCAAAGGUGAUAAAUAAACUAGAAACAGACGACGGUAGUAAAAUAUUUGGACAUGAAGUGGUUUUAGCAUCGGCUAUCAACUGAACCAGUCGUUGAUCUCCAGUGAUGAACAUAGUUUUCUUCUUUCUUGAGCACAGUUAUAAGUUAUAACAUCUUACAAUUCUCAGAGAAGUUAAUGAAGGGCCAAAGAAACAAAAACACAAUAUUUUGAUUGGUGGCAAUUAUUAACUACUUUACAUAUUUUAUAACUAUUUAGAUUUUGAAGUAACAUUUGCAAUCGCUUUCACUUUUUAUUACCUCAACUUUUUCUAAUUAUACAACUAAUUAUUUUGGUUCUUUCUUUCUCAGACAUUAUAUACAGUCAUAAAAUUAAUAGUCCUUUGUUUCUUAAUAUUAUGUGUUGUAACAUAAGAAGAGUAAAUACUAAAUUAGAUGAUCUACUACUUUUCUUAGAGAAUGAUAAAAAAAAUAUGCUUUUAGAUAUAAUAAUUUUAACCAAAACUUGGCGUGACGUUAAUUGUUGAAAUAUAUCUAUCUGUGAUUAUAAUGCUUAUUUUACUAAAAU
Acyrthosiphon pisum (pea aphid) is the source of this 1148-nucleotide long non-coding RNA. RefSeq lists it as uncharacterized. The record is from RefSeq and is a predicted model, not a curated record. Lineage: Eukaryota; Metazoa; Arthropoda; Insecta; Hemiptera; Aphididae. The transcript is spliced from 5 exons.